This 450-nucleotide ribosomal RNA is filed under the name uncultured bacterium. Its description in RNAcentral is "partial 16S ribosomal RNA". It matches the Rfam family "Bacterial small subunit ribosomal RNA", at positions 354 to 796 of the family's 1533-position model. The record is from RNAcentral.
GUGGGGAAUAUUGCACAAUGGGCGCAAGCCUGAUGCAGCCAUGCCGCGUGUGUGAAGAAGGCCUUCGGGUUGUAAAGCACUUUCAGCGGGGAGGAAGGCGAUAAGGUUAAUAACCUUGUCGAUUGACGUUACCCGCAGAAGAAGCACCGGCUAACUCCGUGCCAGCAGCCGCGGUAAUACGGAGGGUGCAAGCGUAAAUCGGAAUUACUGGGCGUAAAGCGCACGCAGGCGGUCUGUCAAGUCGGAUGUGAAAUCCCCGGGCUCAACCUGGGAACUGCAUUCGAAACUGGCAGGCUAGAGUCUUGUAGAGGGGGGUAGAAUUCCAGGUGUAGCGGUGAAAUGCGUAGAGAUCUGGAGGAAUACCGGUGGCGAAGGCGGCCCCCUGGACAAAGACUGACGCUCAGGUGCGAAAGCGUGGGGAGCAAACAGGAUUAGAUACCCCAGUAGUCC